GAUGAACGCUGGCGGCGUGCCUAAUACAUGCAAGUCGAGCGAACGGACGAGAAGCUUGCUUCUCUGAUGUUAGCGGCGGACGAGUGAGUAACACGUGGAUAACCUACCUAUAAGACUGGGAUAACUUCGGGAAACCGGAGCUAAUACCGGAUAAUAUUUUGAACCGCAUGGUUCAAAAGUGAAAGACGGUCUUGCUGUCACUUAUAGAUGGAUCCGCGCUGCAUUAGCUAGUUGGUAAGGUAACGGCUUACCAAGGCAACGAUGCAUAGCCGACCUGAGAGGGUGAACGGCCACACUGGAACUGAGACACGGUCCAGACUCCGACGGGAGGCAGCAGUAGGGAAUCUUCCGCAAUGGGCGAAAGCCUGACGGAGCAACGCCGCGUGAGUGAUGAAGGUCUUCGGAUUGUAAAACUCUGUUAUUAGGGAAGAACAUAUGUGUAAGUAACUGUGCACAUCUUGACGGUACCUAAUCAGAAAGCCACGGCUAACUACGUG
Molecule: ribosomal RNA, 497 nt
Filed under: uncultured bacterium
Lineage: Bacteria
Description: partial 16S ribosomal RNA
Rfam family: Bacterial small subunit ribosomal RNA
Source: RNAcentral